AAAACGGAGAGUUUGAUCCUGGCUCAGGAUGAACGCUGGCGGCGUGCUUAACACAUGCAAGUCGAACGAACCUUCGGGUUAGUGGCGGACGGGUGAGUAACGCGUGAGAAUCUGCCCUCAGGAGGGGGACAACAGUUGGAAACGACUGCUAAUACCCCAUAUGCCGAGAGGUGAAACGAAUUUCGCCUGGGGAUGAGCUCGCGUCUGAUUAGCUUGUUGGUGGGGUAAUGGCUUACCAAGGCUUCGAUCAGUAGCUGGUCUGAGAGGACGAUCAGCCACACUGGGACUGAGACACGGCCCAGACUCCUACGGGAGGCAG
This 319-nucleotide non-coding RNA is filed under the name Candidatus Synechococcus spongiarum SP3. Its description in RNAcentral is "bacterial SSU rRNA". It matches the Rfam family "Bacterial small subunit ribosomal RNA", at positions 1 to 351 of the family's 1533-position model. Lineage: Bacteria; Bacillati; Cyanobacteriota; Cyanophyceae; Synechococcales; Synechococcaceae. The record is from RNAcentral.